This 65-nucleotide transfer RNA is filed under the name Chonosia atrodorsalis. RNAcentral describes it as "tRNA-Asn". Lineage: Eukaryota; Metazoa; Arthropoda; Insecta; Hemiptera; Cicadidae. The record is from RNAcentral.
UUAAUUGAAGCCAAAAUAGAGGCAUUUUAUUGUUAAUAAAAUAAUUGAAUUUUAUUCCAAUUAAU